This is a non-coding RNA of Schistosoma mattheei, 45 nucleotides long. The record is from Rfam. NCBI's taxonomy places the organism in Eukaryota, Metazoa, Platyhelminthes, Trematoda, Strigeidida, Schistosomatidae.
AUCCGGCUGACGAGUCCCAAACAGAACGAAACGCGCGUCCUGGAU